Molecule: ribosomal RNA, 200 nt
Filed under: Listeria monocytogenes
Lineage: Bacteria; Bacillati; Bacillota; Bacilli; Caryophanales; Listeriaceae
Description: partial 23S ribosomal RNA
Rfam family: Bacterial large subunit ribosomal RNA
Source: RNAcentral
AGUAAAUUGGUUAAGUUAGAAAGGGCGCACGGUGGAUGCCUUGGCACUAGGAGCCGAAGAAGGACGGGACUAACACCGAUAUGCUUUGGGGAGCUGUACGUAAGCGUUGAUCCAGAGAUUUCCGAAUGGGGGAACCCACUAUCUUUAGUCGGAUAGUAUCCUUACGUGAAUACAUAGCGUGAGGAAGGCAGACCCAGGGA